AACUAUACCAGUCGAUGAGGAGAGGCUAUAGUUAAUUCAUCCGUUGCAGCAAUUUACUCACUAUGAUAUCCGUUUGGGUUUCUUAGAGGGCGCUGUGGAUAACAUCAUGGUCACAUCACCACAUAAUAAUGAUGUUUAGAAAUAUCUGAGACUG
Molecule: small nucleolar RNA, 154 nt
Filed under: Debaryomyces hansenii
Lineage: Eukaryota; Fungi; Ascomycota; Pichiomycetes; Serinales; Debaryomycetaceae
Description: Small nucleolar RNA snR4
Rfam family: Small nucleolar RNA snR4
Source: Rfam by way of RNAcentral